RNAcentral lists this ribosomal RNA (407 nucleotides) under uncultured bacterium. RNAcentral's name for it is "partial 16S ribosomal RNA". It matches the Rfam family "Bacterial small subunit ribosomal RNA", at positions 28 to 526 of the family's 1533-position model. The record is from RNAcentral.
GACGAACGCUGGCGGCGUGCCUAAUACAUGCAAGUAGAACGCAGUUGCGAACGGGUGAGUAACGCGUAGGUAACUGCCUCAUAGCGGGGGAUAACUAUUGGAAACGAUAGCUAAUACCGCAUACUGUGAGAUGGACAUGCGUUGUAUUAGGUAGUUGGUGAGGUAAAGGCUCAACAAGGCGACGAUACAUUGCCGACCUGAGAGGGGUAUCGGCCCAACGUGGACUGAGACAACGCCCAGACUCCUACGGGAUGCAGCAGUAGGGAAUCUUCGGCAAUUGACGGAAGUCUGACCCGGCAACGCCGCGUGAAUGAAGAAGGUUUUCGGAUCGUAAAGCUCUGUUGUUAGAGAAGCGGUAUCUAACCAGAAAGGGACGGCUAACUACGUGCCAGCAGCCGCGGUAAUUC